Molecule: ribosomal RNA, 250 nt
Filed under: uncultured bacterium
Lineage: Bacteria
Description: partial 16S ribosomal RNA
Rfam family: Bacterial small subunit ribosomal RNA
Source: RNAcentral
UACGUAGGGCGCAAGCGUUUGUCCGGAAUUAUUGGGCGUAAAGAGCUCGUAGGCGCCAGUUGCGUCUGCUGUGAAAGCCCUGGGCUCAACCCAGGAAGUGCACUCGAAGCUGGCGGGCUUGAAUAUGGAAGAGGGUCGCGGAAUUCCCGGUGUAGAGGUGAAAUUCGUAGAUAUCGGGAGGAACACCAGUGGCGAAGGGCGGCGACCUGGGCCAAUAGUUGACGUCAGAGGUGGCGGAAAGCCGAAUGGG